GGGAGUAUAGCCCAGUGGUAGGGCGCUUGCUUAGAUAGAUGCAUGAGGUCCUGGGUUCAAUCCCCAGUUCCUCCA
RNAcentral lists this transfer RNA (75 nucleotides) under Camelus bactrianus (Bactrian camel). It matches the Rfam family "tRNA". Rfam says of the family: Transfer RNA (tRNA) molecules are approximately 80 nucleotides in length. Their secondary structure includes four short double-helical elements and three loops (D, anti-codon, and T loops). RNAcentral also lists the same sequence under 2 other names. Lineage: Eukaryota; Metazoa; Chordata; Mammalia; Artiodactyla; Camelidae. The record is from Rfam by way of RNAcentral.